Molecule: ribosomal RNA, 305 nt
Filed under: uncultured bacterium
Lineage: Bacteria
Description: bacterial SSU rRNA
Rfam family: Bacterial small subunit ribosomal RNA
Source: RNAcentral
CCUACGGGACGCAGCAGUGAGGAAUAUUGGUCAAUGGACGGAAGUCUGAACCAGCCAAGUAGCGUGCAGGAUGACGGCCCUAUGGGUUGUAAACUGCUUUUGUAUGGGGAUAAAGUUAGGGACGUGUCCCUAUUUGCAGGUACCAUACGAAUAAGGACCGACUAAUUCCGUGCCAGCAGCCGCGGUAAUACGGAAGGUCCAGGCGUUAUCCGGAUUUAUUGGGUUUAAAGGGAGCGUAGGCUGGAUAUUAAGUGUGUUGUGAAAUGUAGACGCUCAACGUCUGACUUGCAGCGCAUACUGGUUUC